GAGACAUCAACACUUGAGUGACCACUCCAGACUGCCAGCGUGCCCUUGCAUUUGUGCAAGGUGAUACUGAACCAUCCUGACUCUUCAGCCAAGGAAGCUCUCCUAACACAUCCUGCUGUAGGAGAACAAUCCUGACUCAGCUUUUGUAACCCAAUUUCAACAUGUAAACGAGGUCUCUUAACACCCUUCCUAACACUACACUCUACUUACAGUAAACUUCUUCAGAAGUCCAGCAUCUUCCCUUAUUUUACAAGGAUGGAAAGAAUAUGACGAAGGGCAGCUCAGCUGACACACAGAGAGCACAGGAACAGGCUCCACUGAUGGUGCUGGGUUUCUAAAACACCCAGGAUGCAUUACAGCCCCCAAGCUUGCGAAAGAACACACGUCAAAGCACCAGCCUCAAAUGCAACAGUAAAGCCAGCUGGGGCAGAUGUCUGAGACAGCCCCUGUCCCACCCAGUGUGAUUGCUUCAGACUUGUGUGAGACCUACAGACCACAGAGAAAUCCCCCCUACAGCAUCUAGGAUCCAACCAUGACACGGAGACAAUUUGUUAUAGUUUCACCUGCACGGAGAUUACCCAAACUAACCUCCAAACAAGGAUGUACAAGAGAAUGUCACCCUGAAUGAAGUGGGAAUCUAUUCAAGAUCCAUGGAAUAACAGCCUGAACCCUGCUUAGUUUAGCAGCACCCACGUGGGCACAUUUGACAGAAGUGUUGGGAUGAAGCCAGCUUUGUCAACAUCCAUGCCUGGAGCUUCUGAAGAGCUCCCACCCACGGCUGGCACACACCCACUGCCCUCCCCUCAAAGCACACACGCCAUGCUCCCGGACUCCAGCUUCAAAGUUUGAAGAUGGUCUAGUACUGCCAGGGGGAUUUCUGGGAAUCCCAUCACAAGCUUCACACAACCCUUAAAAACUUCCUUUAGCGUCAGACCCUUAUCUGUUCAUUCUCUGUGAAGUGGGAUUAGUAGAACUUCACGGCAUGAGGGAUUUUGAAAAUACAGUCGUUCAGAAAUCAAGAGAUGCAUAACUUUUAUACAGAGGCAUUUCCUAAUCAUAUUGCAAAACAACAAAUACUUUUUCUGAAACAGACUGAAGAACUUUGUUAACAGGAGACAAAUACUACAAAAUUAUGUUCAAAAACCCCAAAUUAGUUGCUGUAACUUUUGGGAAACUUAGUUACUAGCACAAAAAAAACCAACCAGACUAAAUGCAUAAGAACACCUGAAAAGAUUAAAAAACCUCAGAUUAAAAAAUAAAAUAGUUAUAGAAUUAAAUACUAACAUUCCAUACUGGGAGUUAAUCAACAGCUCACAUCUAAGUAGGCAUAAUAUACUAAAAGUUUACAUAUGGACAGACAGUUUCAUGGAUAAUAAAUCCAA
Molecule: long non-coding RNA, 1382 nt
Organism: Passer domesticus (house sparrow)
Lineage: Eukaryota; Metazoa; Chordata; Aves; Passeriformes; Passeridae
Exons: 3
Source: RefSeq, a predicted model, not a curated record